This 364-nucleotide unclassified non-coding RNA is filed under the name Hevea brasiliensis (rubber tree). Lineage: Eukaryota; Viridiplantae; Streptophyta; Magnoliopsida; Malpighiales; Euphorbiaceae. The record is from RNAcentral.
GAUUAAAGCAUCAUUGCAUAAUUAGAUAUUGAGAGGAUACCAUUUCCAUUGAACCUGUAAUAUUAAUGGGACACCCCAUUUAAAUGACAUGAAAUAGUCUUCGAAGGUUCAUUUGCUCAUUAUCUUGGCAGAGAAAGUCUCAUGGGAUACAGACCUAACAAUUGAGAUUGAAUCCUAGAUUACCAGUCACACUUGGACGAAAGGGUUUACCGUUAGAGGAUCAAAAUGGGUUUGUUCACCGGUCCUCCCUCCUGUCCGCUAAAAAUUUGUAAAUCACUACAUUUUCAUUCCAUUAGGUCAACACACUUACGAAAUUAUAGUUUGUUGAGAAUUAUGGACGCAAGAGUGUGAAUAUCAAAUUGGC